UCUGCCCUUAAAAGCACUGCAUGCGUAACUACUAUGUGACAUGUGGGUCAGUAGGUGUCAGGAGAGAAGCUAAGCCUAUACUCAGUGUUCUGACCUAUGAAGAUCUGAAAGAUGAGAAGCUUAACAUU
Apodemus sylvaticus (European woodmouse) is the source of this 128-nucleotide small nucleolar RNA. RefSeq annotates it as small nucleolar RNA SNORA17. The record is from RefSeq and is a predicted model, not a curated record. The transcript has a single exon. Lineage: Eukaryota; Metazoa; Chordata; Mammalia; Rodentia; Muridae.